UUGAAGCCAGGAGGAUCAGAAGGG
RNAcentral lists this non-coding RNA (24 nucleotides) under Mus musculus (house mouse). Lineage: Eukaryota; Metazoa; Chordata; Mammalia; Rodentia; Muridae. The record is from RNAcentral.